Molecule: long non-coding RNA, 1467 nt
Organism: Onychostoma macrolepis
Lineage: Eukaryota; Metazoa; Chordata; Actinopteri; Cypriniformes; Cyprinidae
Exons: 2
Source: RefSeq, a predicted model, not a curated record
GCACGCGGUCGCGGUCCGGCAGCGCGUUCCAGGAGCUGUGAGUCUGCAGCAGUGCAGAUCGUUUCCGCACUGAGUCUAUUUUUGCUGUGCUGCACGCGCUGAAUUAAAGGGACAGCGCUUUUUUCACGCCCCGGAUCAGGAGCGGACUGCAAACGCGUCCUGUGUGAAAGCACAAUGAGUCCGUGCUGCUUCUGCACCGAGUACUUAACGGACAUGGACCGCAUACGCACUGCAGACGGAGCAUGUGUGAAACAGGCGUAAUAACUAUACGAUGUCCACUUAAUACGGAACUGCCACUGGUCCUUGACAGUUAUGGAAUAGGUGGGUGUAUUCUGGGACUUCACCUUCUUUGACGUGGAAAUGUUUUUUCUGUUGUUGUGCUGAACUUUGACGCAAGUAUAUCAUGGCCUUUACUUCCAUCUCAUGUGUGAGUACACAUGGUUUUGAACAUAUUAAUUUAUUUGUAUGUAAAACUUUUUUUAUUUAGUAAGAAAUUAAUGAGGUUAGUUGGGUAUGUUAAGGUAACAGUUAAAUGGCACAACACAGAAAUUAUGCUAGGGCUGCAGUUUAUCUGUUAGAAUAUCUUCCACAUCUUGUGUUUACAGAAUGCAGACUCAAUUCCCAAAGGAGGUAUCCUACUUUCAACUCUUAGAACUCUUAGAAGAAAGCAGCAAGUUUUUAACAGCAAAUUAGAAGAGGUACCAAAAAUUAUGACAACUACACUCAUCAACUUCAAAAAAAAAAAAACAUCCCCCACCCCCCUUUCUUCUAUAUAAAGAAACAGAAUUUAAGAGAGGAACUGAUGAACCUCAAUAGCAGGAGGAUGCAAAACAGUGCAUUAAAAUACUCUUUAACGCCCUUUCGAACCAACAUUUCUGAAACAGGAUGGUGUCAACAAUUUCACCCCUUCAGAACAGUUGAUAUAUACACUGUUUGUGUAUUAUAUAUAUAUAUAUAUAUAUAUAUAUAUAUAUGAGUAGUCUUUUAAAUAUUUUUCCCUCACUUUGACUCAGUGUAGCCUGCUGAGUGCUGAUGGCAAAAAUGAGCUGUGAUCGUACUUGCCCUUUUGUCUUUUUUUAGUCUCACUUAAACAGUUUGAAACUCCACACAGGAAAUGAGCAAAAUGUGACAAAGAGCUGAUUCUCACUAUCUACAUAACACAGAGCCUGCUACAAAAUGUUACAGAAAGAUGUGUCUACAUAGAGAAACAAAAAUAGAACUAUGUCCUGAUGCUAUGUACUGAGCUGAACUGUGUCAGGUUUUUCUUUGACAGGCCUUUCUCAUAAAAAUUCUUGAUGAAUGACUUACAAAUAUUACAUUUUUGAAAACUGCCAAAUUUAAUUGCAUCAAAACAAAAUAGAAUUCUAUAAAAGAUACAAAGUGUACAAAAAGUGUACAAAAUGAAAUAAAAAAGUAUUGUUUGAGAUCCAAAGCAUAAAAACACAUCAGUCUGUAGAGAUAAAUCUA